RNAcentral lists this ribosomal RNA (1715 nucleotides) under Escherichia coli. Its description in RNAcentral is "partial 23S ribosomal RNA". It matches the Rfam family "Bacterial large subunit ribosomal RNA", at positions 1 to 1751 of the family's 2925-position model. The record is from RNAcentral. Lineage: Bacteria; Pseudomonadati; Pseudomonadota; Gammaproteobacteria; Enterobacterales; Enterobacteriaceae.
GGGUUGUGAGGUUAAGCGACUAAGCGUACACGGUGGAUGCCCUGGCAGUCAGAGGCGAUGAAGGACGUGCUAAUCUGCGAUAAGCGUCGGUGAGGUGAUAUGAACCGUUAUAACCGGCGAUUUCCGAAUGGGGAAACCCAGUGUGUUUCGACACACUAUCAUUAACUGAAUCCAUAGGUUAAUGAGGCGAACCGGGGGAACUGAAACAUCUAAGUACCCCGAGGAAAAGAAAUCAACCGAGAUUCCCCCAGUAGCGGCGAGCGAACGGGGAGGAGCCCAGAGCCUGAAUCAGUGUGUGUGUUAGUGGAAGCGUCUGGAAAGGCGCGCGAUACAGGGUGACAGCCCCGUACACAAAAAUGCACAUAUUGUGAGCUCGAUGAGUAGGGCGGGACACGUGGUAUCCUGUCUGAAUAUGGGGGGACCAUCCUCCAAGGCUAAAUACUCCUGACUGACCGAUAGUGAACCAGUACCGUGAGGGAAAGGCGAAAAGAACCCCGGCGAGGGGAGUGAAAAAGAACCUGAAACCGUGUACGUACAAGCAGUGGGAGCCUCUUAAUGGGGUGACUGCGUACCUUUUGUAUAAUGGGUCAGCGACUUAUAUUCUGUAGCAAGGUUAACCGAAUAGGGGAGCCGAAGGGAAACCGAGUCUUAACUGGGCGUUAAGUUGCAGGGUAUAGACCCGAAACCCGGUGAUCUAGCCAUGGGCAGGUUGAAGGUUGGGUAACACUAACUGGAGGACCGAACCGACUAAUGUUGAAAAAUUAGCGGAUGACUUGUGGCUGGGGGUGAAAGGCCAAUCAAACCGGGAGAUAGCUGGUUCUCCCCGAAAGCUAUUUAGGUAGCGCCUCGUGAAUUCAUCUCCGGGGGUAGAGCACUGUUUCGGCAAGGGGGUCAUCCCGACUUACCAACCCGAUGCAAACUGCGAAUACCGGAGAAUGUUAUCACGGGAGACACACGGCGGGUGCUAACGUCCGUCGUGAAGAGGGAAACAACCCAGACCGCCAGCUAAGGUCCCAAAGUCAUGGUUAAGUGGGAAACGAUGUGGGAAGGCCCAGACAGCCAGGAUGUUGGCUUAGAAGCAGCCAUCAUUUAAAGAAAGCGUAAUAGCUCACUGGUCGAGUCGGCCUGCGCGGAAGAUGUAACGGGGCUAAACCAUGCACCGAAGCUGCGGCAGCGACACUAUGUGUUGUUGGGUAGGGGAGCGUUCUGUAAGCCUGUGAAGGUGGCCUGUGAGGGUUGCUGGAGGUAUCAGAAGUGCGAAUGCUGACAUAAGUAACGAUAAAGCGGGUGAAAAGCCCGCUCGCCGGAAGACCAAGGGUUCCUGUCCAACGUUAAUCGGGGCAGGGUGAGUCGACCCCUAAGGCGAGGCCGAAAGGCGUAGUCGAUGGGAAACAGGUUAAUAUUCCUGUACUUGGUGUUACUGCGAAGGGGGGACGGAGAAGGCUAUGUUGGCCGGGCGACGGUUGUCCCGGUUUAAGCGUGUAGGCUGGUUUUCCAGGCAAAUCCGGAAAACCAAGGCUGAGGCGUGAUGACGAGGCACUACGGUGCUGAAGCGACAAAUGCCCUGCUUCCAGGAAAAGCCUCUAAGCAUCAGGUAACAUCAAAUCGUACCCCAAACCGACACAGGUGGUCAGGUAGAGAAUACCAAGGCGCUUGAGAGAACUCGGGUGAAGGAACUAGGCAAAAUGGUGCCGUAACUUCGGGAGAAGGCACGC